GAUGAACGCUGGCGGCGUGCCUAAUACAUGCAAGUCGAGCGAACAGACGAGGAGCUUGCUCCUCUGACGUUAGCGGCGGACGGGUGAGUAACACGUUGAUAACCUACCUAUAAGACUGGGAUAACUUCGGGAAACCGGAGCUAAUACCGGAUAAUAUAUUGAACCUCAUGGUUCAAUAGUGAAAGACGGUUUUGCUGUCACUUAUAGAUGUAUCCGCGCCGCAUUAGCUAGUUGGUAAGGUAACGGCUUACCAAGGCAACGAUGCGUAGCCGACCUGAGAGGGUGAUCGGCCACACUGGAACUGAGACACGGUCCAGACUCCUACGGGAGGCAGCAGUAGGGAAUCUUCAGCAAUGGGCGAAAGCCUGACGGAGCAACGCCGCGUGAGUGAUGAAGGUCUACGGAUCGUAAAACUCUGUUAUUAGGGAAGAACAAAUGUGUAAGUAACUAUGCACGUCUUGACGGUACCUAAUCAGAAAGCCACGGCUAACUACGUG
Molecule: ribosomal RNA, 497 nt
Filed under: uncultured bacterium
Lineage: Bacteria
Description: partial 16S ribosomal RNA
Rfam family: Bacterial small subunit ribosomal RNA
Source: RNAcentral